GGAGAGUUGUCUGAGUUCGGUUUAAGGUACCAGUCUCGAAAACUGGAGUAGGUUGUUCCUACCGUGGGUUCAAAUCCCACACUCUCCGCCA
Molecule: transfer RNA, 91 nt
Filed under: Clostridia bacterium
Lineage: Bacteria; Bacillati; Bacillota; Clostridia
Description: tRNA-Ser
Rfam family: tRNA
About the family: Transfer RNA (tRNA) molecules are approximately 80 nucleotides in length. Their secondary structure includes four short double-helical elements and three loops (D, anti-codon, and T loops).
Source: RNAcentral